Anarrhichthys ocellatus (wolf-eel) is the source of this 497-nucleotide long non-coding RNA. RefSeq lists it as uncharacterized. The transcript is spliced from 3 exons. The record is from RefSeq and is a predicted model, not a curated record. Lineage: Eukaryota; Metazoa; Chordata; Actinopteri; Perciformes; Anarhichadidae.
CUUCAAUCUGCCUUUUACUUGUGAUCUUUCAGAGCAGCGUUCGUCGCAGACUCAGCAUAUCGCUAAUUCCCAACCAAAUCCAGGAGAAGAUAAAGCGAGACGUGAAGAAAAGAGCUCUUCCCGAAAGGUCCUUCAGCAAGGAUUCCUUCCUCACCUGCACGUCUCCCCCCUUGAAGUCCAGCUGCUCUGCCAUGACCAUGGAUUACAGCCUCCCUGCGGAUGACAGGCCGCUGGAUCCAGAUGAAACUCUGUCAGAAGCUCCAGCUGCUGAGCUUCUUCCACCUCCGGUCCUCAGCCCCGAGUGUCUCCCAUCUAAACAACAGGCCACCAGAAAGUUACGCGACAAAAAGUAUGGACUCACUGGUCACGAACAAAAUAGCAGAAACGCCACACAAUACUAAUACCUGCAGUAAACAUCAACCCUGCUGAAGCUCUGGAUGUUUGUUUGAUUAAAGCUUGCUCUUUUUUUUGACGAUGCUGUAAUUCAUGGCCUUAAU